This 427-nucleotide ribosomal RNA is filed under the name uncultured bacterium. RNAcentral's name for it is "bacterial SSU rRNA". It matches the Rfam family "Bacterial small subunit ribosomal RNA", at positions 355 to 774 of the family's 1533-position model. The record is from RNAcentral.
UGGGGAAUUUUGGACAAUGGGCGCAAGCCUGAUCCAGCAAUGCCGCGUGCAGGGUGAAGGCCUUCGGGUUGUAAACUGCUUUUGUACGGAGCGAAAAGGUCUGCCCUAAUACGGUGGGCUCAUGACGGUACCGUAAGAAUAAGCACCGGCUAACUACGUGCCAGCAGCCGCGGUAAUACGUAGGGUGCGAGCGUUAAUCGGAAUUACUGGGCGUAAAGCGUGCGCAGGCGGCUAUACAAGACAGAGGUGAAAUCCCCGGGCUCAACCUGGGAACUGCCUUUGUGACUGCAUAGCUAGAGUACGGUAGAGGGGGAUGGAAUUCCGCGUGUAGCAGUGAAAUGCGUAGAUAUGCGGAGGAACACCGAUGGCGAAGGCAAUCCCCUGGACCUGUACUGACGCUCAUGCACGAAAGCGUGGGGAGCAAACA